UUUUUUUUUUUUUUUUUUUGAGACGCGGUCUCGUUCUAUCGCCCAGGCCAGAGUCUUAGAGGCCUGAUCUCCGCUCAAGGCAAGCUCCGCCUCCCGGGUUCACGCCAUUCUCCUGCCUCAGCCUCCCUAGCAGCUGGGACUACAGGGAUCUGCCACCACGACCGGCUAAUUUUUUUGUAUUUUUAGUAGAGACGGGGUUUCACUGUGCUAGCCAGGAUGGUCUCGAUCUCCUGACCUCGUAAUCCACCCGCCUCGGCCUCCCAAAAGUGCUGGGAUUACAGACUUGAGCCACCGCGCCCGGCCAGUUAGUACCAAUUUUUCUAAUGACAGUAUAAUGCUAAUGGACAUUUCUCUGACCUCUUAACUUUAGGGUUAAUUAUUUAGUAUAAAUAAAUAAUUACAGUUUCAGUUGGUAAGCUAAGUAUCUGGAAAAAUAAAUUAUCAAAUAUACUUACAUUUCCUUUUUUAGGUAGAUUAAAAUACUUUUAUAUAUUUAAACUGAGAUAAUAUCUACUCACUGUAGAAAAUUUACAUAAAUUAUUAAAGAAAAGGCAAAAUACUCAUUUGUCAGUGACACAUUCCAUCAACAUUAUGGGCUUAUCUUCAUUAUGAUUUGUACAUAAAAAUACUUAUGAUAUAUUGGAAAGUCCUUGAUCUCAAGAACUGUUUGUAAUUCAUCUUUGUAUCCAUGCAGUAAGGAGUAUAGUGCAUAAGAUACAGCAGGUGUUCAAAGUUCUGUUAAAUUGCACAUUAACUGUAAGAGCAUUCAAAAAAGCUAUAUAUUUACAUAUUUUAAAGUGUUCAUGUAUACAUAUGUAAAAUAUGUAUUUGUACAUCUCCAACUUAAGGACAAAUAUGAGUGAAGCUAUUAAAAACUCAUUAGCAUAAUUUGUAUUGGCAAAAUACUGGAUAUUAAAUAACAGAUAUGACUAAAAUGAAUCAUUUAUAUUAGAUAUUAUUAUAAGUUGAAACUGUUUUGAAAUCAAAGACAUACCAUAAAUAUUACUUUAUAAAUGUCAUUGGAAGCGAAUCAUGACCAUCUUUUUUUCAAAAGCAAAUAUAGCCAAAAUGCCAACAAAACAAUUAGUACUCUAAGCCCAGAACUAAAGGAAUACCUAAAAAUAAAUGAUGUUAAUAUUUAACUCACAGUAUUGUAAACUUCCUGUUUAAGUAAUUAAUUAACACAUUUACUUUCUAGAAAGGCAGAAGACUGUGAAAAAGAAGCACAACAGAAACAGACAAACUGCCGAGGGGAUCUGGUUAAAGUUUUAGAUUGAUUUCUUUCAGCUCUGCUUUGUUAAAAUCUCCACUCAGAAACCCAUCUACGGUUUAUUUUUUUUAUUGUUCUGAAGUAAGCUACUAGUUUCGUUUUUUUACUUAUUAUAUUUAUAAUGGUCAUACUGAACAAGUCAAAAUCAGGAAAAUGACAACAUUUCCAUACAUGUUUGCUUAAAAGAUUUACUUUAAAUUAAAACUGUAGUACAGAUAAUCUCACCAUUACUAUUUUGACAGCUUUAUGGCCACGAUAAAACUUAUAAUUACCAUUGAAAUGCGAUACCUGGUUAAAUGCUAUGUUCAUCUCAUUCUUUUAAAGUAUAUUUUAAUGAAUCAUGAGCAUAUUUUAGUUAUUAUCUUCCUACAUCUUAAAACCAUCUUACAGAUAAGCUAACUUUGGGUGACAUUAGACAAAUAUACAUUUAACUUAUGUAAUACAGAUACAUUGUGUGUACAAAAGACUGCUUUGUUUUGAGCUGCCACAGUGGUGAGUUUCAAGGAUUCACAAGGGUACAGAUAGUCCCAAGUAAUCUGUUCCCAGAUAAAGCACUGUCCUUAAAGGGUUGCUUAUACUUCAUAAUUGUGCUGCUAAUCAGUAACUGAAAACAUAUCUAUCCUUGAAAUACCUAUCUUUGGAUUCAUUAUGUUCUUUGCAGCCAGUGUGAUGUAAUGAAUAGUGUGUGACCUUUGGGGCAAAGAGAUUCAGGUUUGGAUUGCCUUCAUGCCAUCUGGACCUUUGGAACACAUCCCUUUACCCAAAACUAUCUGAGCUCUGACUUUCUUCUAAGUAAAGAAGGGUUAAUAAUUUCUAUCUUAAAGUUAUUUUCCAGAUUAGAGGUAUAAAAUGUAACACCUGCAGCUGGAAACCAUCAUUCUCAGCAAACUAUGGCAAGAACAGAAAACCAAAUACCGCAUGUUCUCACUCAUAGGUGGGAACUGAACGAUGAGAUCACUUGGACACAGGAAGGGGAACAUCACAUACCGGGUCCUAUUGUGGGGGAGGGGGUAGGGAGGGAUAGCAUUAGGAGAUAUACCUAAUGUAAAUGAUGAGUUAAUGGGUGCAGCACACCAACAUGGCACAUGUAUAUAUAUGUAACAAACCUGCAC
This is a long non-coding RNA of Macaca fascicularis (crab-eating macaque), 2382 nucleotides long. The record is from Ensembl. NCBI's taxonomy places the organism in Eukaryota, Metazoa, Chordata, Mammalia, Primates, Cercopithecidae.